Molecule: long non-coding RNA, 691 nt
Organism: Syngnathoides biaculeatus (alligator pipefish)
Lineage: Eukaryota; Metazoa; Chordata; Actinopteri; Syngnathiformes; Syngnathidae
Exons: 2
Source: RefSeq, a predicted model, not a curated record
CUCUUCUCCACCCCCUCUUAAUGACUUGCUAUGGACCCACCUGGACCAAUUAGCAAGUAUCCCUAAAAGUUUAAAAGCCAUCUGGCGGCUAUGUCCCAUUCACUCCUUGCCUGUCAACAUGGAAAAAGUGACUCAUCUUAACGAUAUGAGCAGUUUUGAAUGUCUAACACCAUCGGAACUUGAUAGGAAGUUCAUUGAUGAGCAGCGUUUUACUUUUACUUUGUCACUGGGCCAACUGUCCAGAUCAAGAAUUUCAUCUGAUGGCUUAGUUGACGAAAGUGAUCUCAAAUCACUGAGCCACACUUCUCUAAACGUGGCAACGGCUCCAGCAUCUCUGUCUCAGGUCAAUGAUGUGAAUGGCCAAGGGACCAACAAUUCUCAUCAAUUAUUGGAGCUACAGGUCAACUCGUCCACUCCUUACAUCCUUGCGCAAAAGCAAGCUUAUCUGGACUGGUCAUACAUUGACCUUACCGUCUCUCGAAUGUCUUUGGAUGUGUCUGUGAUUAAGCCGGAGGGGAACAGCCCAAAACCCUUGGAGUUGAGCACCCUGGAACUUUGUAGUUCAAAACUACAAUCUGGGCCACAUUCAAGAUCAGAGGUUUCUCCCUGACAUUAUCAACUCUUCAUAUAAAUACAAUUUGGGGGCGGGAUGUAUUUUUAUUUUAAGUGUUUAAUAAAGCUAUUUGCUCAA